CGGAAAGUCUGACCGAGCAACGCCGCGUGAGUGAAGAAGGUUUUCGGAUCGUAAAACUCUGUUGUUAGAGAAGAACAAGGACGUUAGUAACUGAACGUCCCCUGACGGUAUCUAACCAGAAAGCCACGGCUAACUACGUGCCAGCAGCCGCGGUAAUACGUAGGUGGCAAGCGUUGUCCGGAUUUAUUGGGCGUAAAGCGAGCGCAGGCGGUUUCUUAAGUCUGAUGUGAAAGCCCCCGGCUCAACCGGGGAGGGUCAUUGGAAACUGGGAGACUUGAGUGCAGAAGAGGAGAGUGGAAUUCCAUGUGUAGCGGUGAAAUGCGUAGAUAUAUGGAGGAACACCAGUGGCGAAGGCGGCUCUCUGGUCUGUAACUGACGCUGAGGCUCGAAAGCGUGGGGAGCAAACAGGAUUAGAUACCCUGGUAGUCCCUA
This 432-nucleotide ribosomal RNA is filed under the name Enterococcus faecalis. Its description in RNAcentral is "bacterial SSU rRNA". It matches the Rfam family "Bacterial small subunit ribosomal RNA", at positions 376 to 799 of the family's 1533-position model. The record is from RNAcentral. Lineage: Bacteria; Bacillati; Bacillota; Bacilli; Lactobacillales; Enterococcaceae.